UACGUAGGGUGCGAGCGUUGUCCGGAAUUAUUGGGCGUAAAGGGCUCGUAGGCGGUUUGUCGCGUCGGGAGUGAAAACCAUGGGCUUAACUCAUGGCUUGCUUCCGAUACGGGCAGACUAGAGGCAUGCAGGGGAGAACGGAAUUCCUGGUGUAGCGGUGAAAUGCGCAGAUAUCUGGAGGAACACCGGUGGCGAAGGCGGCAUCCUGGACCGACACUGACGCUGAGGCGCGAAAGCUAGGGGAGCAAACGGG
RNAcentral lists this ribosomal RNA (253 nucleotides) under uncultured bacterium. RNAcentral describes it as "partial 16S ribosomal RNA". It matches the Rfam family "Bacterial small subunit ribosomal RNA", at positions 524 to 776 of the family's 1533-position model. The record is from RNAcentral.